This 253-nucleotide ribosomal RNA is filed under the name uncultured bacterium. RNAcentral's name for it is "partial 16S ribosomal RNA". It matches the Rfam family "Bacterial small subunit ribosomal RNA", at positions 524 to 776 of the family's 1533-position model. The record is from RNAcentral.
UACGUAGGGUGCGAGCGUUAAUCGGAAUUACUGGGCGUAAAGCGUGCGCAGGCGGUGAGCUGUGUCCGAUGUGAAAGCCCCGGGCUUAACCUGGGAAUGGCAUUGGUGACUGCACGGCUAGAGUGUGUCAGAGGGGGGUAGAAUUCCACGUGUAGCAGUGAAAUGCGUAGAGAUGUGGAGGAAUACCGAUGGCGAAGGCAGCCCCCUGGGAUAACACUGACGCUCAUGCACGAAAGCGUGGGGAGCAAACAGG